UGGGGAAUAUUGCACAAUGGGCGAAAGCCUGAUGCAGCGACGCCGCGUGAACGAAGAAGUAUUUCGGUAUGUAAAGUUCUAUCAGCAGGGAAGAAGAAAUGACGGUACCUGACUAAGAAGCUCCGGCUAAAUACGUGCCAGCAGCCGCGGUAAUACGUAUGGAGCAAGCGUUAUCCGGAUUUACUGGGUGUAAAGGGAGCGUAGGCGGUCUUAUAAGUCUGAUGUGAAAGCCCGGGGCUCAACCCCGGGACUGCAUUGGAAACUGUAGGACUAGAGUGUCGGAGGGUAAGUGGAAUUCCUAGUGUAGCGGUGAAAUGCGUAGAUAUUAGGAGGAACACCAGUGGCGAAGGCAGCCUGCUGUAGCGCAACUGACGCUGAAGCUCGAAAGCGUGGGUAUCGAACAGGAUUAGAUACCCUGGUA
This 421-nucleotide ribosomal RNA is filed under the name uncultured Lachnospiraceae bacterium. RNAcentral's name for it is "bacterial SSU rRNA". It matches the Rfam family "Bacterial small subunit ribosomal RNA", at positions 355 to 792 of the family's 1533-position model. Lineage: Bacteria; Bacillati; Bacillota; Clostridia; Lachnospirales; Lachnospiraceae. The record is from RNAcentral.